This 62-nucleotide microRNA precursor is filed under the name Pelobates cultripes (western spadefoot toad). The record is from RNAcentral. Lineage: Eukaryota; Metazoa; Chordata; Amphibia; Anura; Pelobatidae.
UAGUGCUGCAAUGUAAACGUUGCAGUUUCUCUAAAACUGCAAUGUUUUACAUUGCAGCACUA